RNAcentral lists this transfer RNA (77 nucleotides) under Paractinoplanes deccanensis. RNAcentral's name for it is "Actinoplanes deccanensis tRNA-Asn". Lineage: Bacteria; Bacillati; Actinomycetota; Actinomycetes; Micromonosporales; Micromonosporaceae. The record is from RNAcentral.
GCCGGCCGGUAUGGCGAGGCACCUUGCCGAUGGCGCUGUUCGUGCCGCGCUUCUGGUUCCAGACCUGGCGGCCGGUG